GACGAACGCUGGCGGCGUGCUUAACACAUGCAAGUCGAACGGAAAGGCCCUGCUUUUGUGGGGUGCUCGAGUGGCGAACGGGUGAGUAACACGUGAGUAACCUGCCCUUGACUUUGGGAUAACUUCAGGAAACUGGGGCUAAUACCGGAUAGGAGCUCCUGCUGCAUGGUGGGGGUUGGAAAGUUUCGGCGGUUGGGGAUGGACUCGCGGCUUAUCAGCUUGUUGGUAGGGUAGUGGCUUACCAAGGCUUUGACGGGUAGCCGGCCUGAGAGGGUGACCGGCCACAUUGGGAUUGAGAUACGGCCCAGACUCCUACGGGAGGCAGCAGUGGGGAAUAUUGCACAAUGGGCGGAAGCCUGAUGCAGCAACGCCGCGUGCGGGAUGACGGCCUUCGGGUUGUAAACCGCUUUCGCCUGUGACGAAGCGUGAGUGACGGUAAUGGGUAAAGAAGCACCGGCUAACUACGUG
This 468-nucleotide ribosomal RNA is filed under the name uncultured bacterium. Its description in RNAcentral is "partial 16S ribosomal RNA". It matches the Rfam family "Bacterial small subunit ribosomal RNA", at positions 28 to 507 of the family's 1533-position model. The record is from RNAcentral.